UCAAUCAAUGUCUCACUACAAAGUCUACAGUGGCUCUAUUUCUUCUUGCAUUGCAUGAUUGCGUUCUCUGCUGCUUUUUUGCCAACCUUCUUCUUGCAUUACAUCCUCUGCUCCUUUUUUGCCUUCAACAUUCACCUUAAGUGAAAUUUCCAUUAGUAAGAAGCUUGUCACAAUAAAAGUAAGUAUUAAUCUUGCACAAUCCAUCCUAAUCAUUAAACAUCACAGAAAAAUAUCUUUAAAAGAACAAGUUAAAAUACAUACCAUGCUUAAUCAAGACUAAUACUACUAACAAGCUGAGAUGCAAUUUGAGAGCAGAAAAGAAAAAACUACUAUACUCAAAGAGAGCAAAAAACAAAACAAAACAUUAAUGUCUUUAAGGAAAUGGCAUGCUAUCAAUUGAUGUAGUUACAGGGACGAAAACUAACUAAGACCUAAUCAAUGCCUGUUCUUUCUCUCGUCGACAAUCGACAACAGCCUCGAAACUAAAGAUUUAACCGAAGACCUAAUCAAUGCAAAAACAAGAGACAUAAUUUAAAAACAAAAGAGAGAAGGAAACAUCAUUAUGAGUCAAAAUAUAUGAGUUGAAAAUUGAGGAACCACAGGAAAAAAUUAGAUCUGGACUAGUUUCUACCUAAGGUGAAUCCUUUAUCACUAUCAGUACCUCCACAGAUAGACACCGAUAAAUGAUAUGUCAUUAGUUUCAUAAUGUAUUACUGCGAUCUGCUUCUUAGUUAUUUGUACUUGUAGGCAACAGUAGUUGGUCAAGACUCCCUUGUAAAGUCAUCUUCUUCCCUACUUAAAGCUAGAAGGGGCAAAAUAUCAAGCCUGUUAGGCGAAGUCCUUCCUGCCAAUCGCUCAUCUCUUACUUGCUGUAAGGAUCAGUUUGUGUCACUAAAGUAUUCAAAUGAUCUAUUCCGAAAUGAGAAAAAGCUACCUAUUUGUGAGAGGGAAACUAUGCAAUGUCAAGACAGUAAAUAUAAAGUAUGACUUCAAAUUAAUUACUAAAGUUCAAUGUAAUAGAGGAAAACAAUAAACAUCCAACCCAAACUCCAGAGUCUCAAGUCUGGGUAAUUCACUACAGGGUCUCAAGUCUCAAUCAAAUUAAUUACUAAGCAGUAAGUACCUAUGAAUAUAGAAUAUAAGAAGCACCUAAAAGGGAAACAUUUCGAAGGCUAGGAGAAAAAUAGAUGGAAAUAUGUAAGUACGAGCAAGAUGCCUAUACAGGGAGGAUAUAGAAACUUACUGAGUAGUAACUUAUGUUGUUCGUAUCAAUUUCAGUAAAACCAAACAACAACAACAACCCAAUUCCAAUCCAAAAACCAACCAAAACAAAUAAAAUUCAAUACUUUUAACUUCAUGAACCUCGGAAUCACAAAACAUGAGCCUUAACGAAUUACACACCUCGGCAUUAACGAAUCGCAAACUCAGUACUUUUAACUUCAUGAGCCUUAACGAAUCGCAAAACAUUUCUUCUUUCGUCAUCCAUUACUUUUAAUCGGUGUGAAGAAAUAGGUAAAUUAACAGCUCCAAAUUACCCAAAAAUGGAAAUUUUAAUCGGAGAAUAUAGAAAUGAACAAAUUUUACACAAAACCCAUGAACAAAAAGCAAAACCCAUUAUCCAAAACACAACCAAAAAAUUUAUAAAAAAAAAAAAACCAAAGGUGGAAGGGAAUGAGCACAACCCAUGAACAAAUUUCAAUCUGUAUAUUGUUACGCAUGAAAGAAGAGAUGGAAGAGAAUCAGAGCUUACCAGAGAGAGAGAGUGGUGGAUUCGGAAGGGAAGGAGCACAUCAAUGGCUGAUGAGUGAUCUCUUAGUACUUUUAGAGAUUACAGAGAGGUUAGAGAGAGAAAAAAAUAGCAAAGUCAUGCGACGGUGCGAGAGAAAUGUGAGGAACUUGAGCCCUGAGGGUUUUCUACUAGGACUGUUAAAAUUACACAAAAGUCCUCAAUAACGGGUUUUGCGGGUUCACUCAAAAUGACUCGUUAUUUAACGGGUGAUUAACGGGUUGAC
This 2012-nucleotide long non-coding RNA is filed under the name Malus domestica (apple). Its description in RNAcentral is "long non-coding RNA (MDOM_LNC005639)". The record is from RNAcentral. Lineage: Eukaryota; Viridiplantae; Streptophyta; Magnoliopsida; Rosales; Rosaceae.